RNAcentral lists this ribosomal RNA (465 nucleotides) under Vreelandella stevensii. Its description in RNAcentral is "partial 16S ribosomal RNA". It matches the Rfam family "Bacterial small subunit ribosomal RNA", at positions 338 to 795 of the family's 1533-position model. The record is from RNAcentral. Lineage: Bacteria; Pseudomonadati; Pseudomonadota; Gammaproteobacteria; Oceanospirillales; Halomonadaceae.
CCUACGGGUGGCUGCAGUGGGGAAUAUUGGACAAUGGGGGGAACCCUGAUCCAGCCAUGCCGCGUGUGUGAAGAAGGCCCUCGGGUUGUAAAGCACUUUCAGUGAGGAAGAACGCCUGGUGGUUAAUACCCAUCAGGAAAGACAUCACUCACAGAAGAAGCACCGGCUAACUCCGUGCCAGCAGCCGCGGUAAUACGGAGGGUGCGAGCGUUAAUCGGAAUUACUGGGCGUAAAGCGCGCGUAGGUGGCUUGAUAAGCCGGUUGUGAAAGCCCCGGGCUCAACCUGGGAACGGCAUCCGGAACUGUCAAGCUAGAGUGCAGGAGGGGAAGGUAGAAUUCCCGGUGUAGCGGUGAAAUGCGUAGAGAUCGGGAGGAAUACCAGUGGCGAAGGCGGCCUUCUGGACUGACACUGACACUGAGGUGCGAAAGCGUGGGUAGCAAACAGGAUUAGAUACCCGAGUAGUC